AGUAAAGUCAGCUAACAAAGCUUUUGGGCCCAUACCCCAACCAUGUUGGUUAAAAUCCUUCCUUUACUA
RNAcentral lists this transfer RNA (69 nucleotides) under Negaprion brevirostris (lemon shark). Its description in RNAcentral is "tRNA-Met". It matches the Rfam family "tRNA". Rfam says of the family: Transfer RNA (tRNA) molecules are approximately 80 nucleotides in length. RNAcentral also lists the same sequence under 7 other names. The record is from RNAcentral. Lineage: Eukaryota; Metazoa; Chordata; Chondrichthyes; Carcharhiniformes; Carcharhinidae.